Molecule: ribosomal RNA, 253 nt
Filed under: uncultured bacterium
Lineage: Bacteria
Description: partial 16S ribosomal RNA
Rfam family: Bacterial small subunit ribosomal RNA
Source: RNAcentral
UACGUAGGGUGCGAGCGUUGUCCGGAAUUAUUGGGCGUAAAGAGCUCGUAGGCGGUUUGUCGCGUCUGCUGUGAAAACCCGAGGCUCAACCUCGGGCCUGCAGUGGGUACGGGCAGACUAGAGUGCGGUAGGGGAGAUUGGAAUUCCUGGUGUAGCGGUGGAAUGCGUAGAUAUCGGGAGGAACACCAGUGGCGAAGGCGACUACCUGGCCUGUUCUUGACGCUGAGGCGCGAAAGCUAGGGGAGCAAACGGG